GACGAACGCUGGCGGCGUGCUUAACACAUGCAAGUCGAACGGAAAGGCCCUGCUUUUGUGGGGUGCUCGAGUGGCGAACGGGUGAGUAACACGUGAGUAACCUGCCCUUGACUUUGGGAUAACUUCAGGAAACUGGGGCUAAUACCGGAUAAGAGCUCCUGCUGCAUGGUGGGGGUUGGAAAGUUUCGGCGGUUGGGGAUGGACUCGCGGCUUAUCAGCUUGUUGGUGGGGUAGUGGCUUACCAAGGCUUUGACGGGUAGCCGGCCUGAGAGGGUGACCGGCCACAUUGGGACUGAGAUACGGCCCAGACUCCUACGGGAGGCAGCAGUGGGGAAUAUUGCACAAUGGGCGGAAGCCUGAUGCAGCAACGCCGCGUGCGGGAUGACGGCCUUCGGGCUGUAAACCGCUUUCGCCUGUGACGAAGCGUGAGUGACGGUAAUGGGUAAAGAAGCACCGGCUAACUACGUG
RNAcentral lists this ribosomal RNA (468 nucleotides) under uncultured bacterium. Its description in RNAcentral is "partial 16S ribosomal RNA". It matches the Rfam family "Bacterial small subunit ribosomal RNA", at positions 28 to 507 of the family's 1533-position model. The record is from RNAcentral.